GAUUCCCUUCUGGGAUCAUCCGAUAAAAUUGGAACGACACAGAGAAGACUGGCAUGGCCCCUGCGCAAGGAUGACACGCACAAAUCGAGAAGUGUACCAAGAGAGC
Molecule: small nuclear RNA, 106 nt
Filed under: Symbiodinium microadriaticum
Lineage: Eukaryota; Dinophyceae; Suessiales; Symbiodiniaceae
Source: RNAcentral